RNAcentral lists this ribosomal RNA (639 nucleotides) under uncultured bacterium. RNAcentral describes it as "bacterial SSU rRNA". It matches the Rfam family "Bacterial small subunit ribosomal RNA", at positions 86 to 721 of the family's 1533-position model. The record is from RNAcentral.
CCCUUGAGAGUGGCGAACGGGUGAGUAAUAUAUCGGAACGUGCCCAGUCGUGGGGGAUAACGUAGAGAAAUUUACGCUAAUACCGCAUACGAUCUAAGGAUGAAAGCGGGGGACCGUAAGGCCUCGCGCGAUUGGAGCGGCUGAUAUCAGAUUAGCUUGUUGGUGAGGUAAAAGCUCACCAAGGCGACGAUCUGUAGCUGGUUUGAGAGAACGACCAGCCACACUGGGACUGAGACACGGCCCAGACUCCUACGGGAGGCAGCAGUGGGGAAUUUUGGACAAUGGGCGAAAGCCUGAUCCAGCAAUGCCGCGUGUGGGAAGAAGGCCUUCGGGUUGUAAACCACUUUUGUACGGAACGAAAAGGUCUGCUUUAAUAAAGUGGGCUCAUGACGGUACCGUAAGAAUAAGCACCGGCUAACUACGUGCCAGCAGCCGCGGUAAUACGUAGGGUGCGAGCGUUAAUCGGAAUUACUGGGCGUAAAGCGUGCGCAGGCGGUUAUAUAAGACAGUUGUGAAAUCCCCGGGCUCAACCUGGGAAUUGCAUCUGUGACUGUAUAGCUAGAGUACGGUAGAGGGGGAUGGAAUUCCGCGUGUAGCAGUGAAAUGCGUAGAUAUGCGGAGGAACACCGAUGGCGAAGG